GGUUGUGGCUCAAUGGUAGAGCGCUUACCUAGCAUGUAUGAGGCACUGAGUUCGAUCCUUAGCACCA
This 67-nucleotide transfer RNA is filed under the name Marmota monax (woodchuck). Its description in RNAcentral is "tRNA.Ala". It matches the Rfam family "tRNA". Rfam says of the family: Transfer RNA (tRNA) molecules are approximately 80 nucleotides in length. Lineage: Eukaryota; Metazoa; Chordata; Mammalia; Rodentia; Sciuridae. The record is from RNAcentral.